This 3592-nucleotide long non-coding RNA is filed under the name Panax ginseng (ginseng). RNAcentral describes it as "long non-coding RNA (PGIN_LNC016985)". The record is from RNAcentral. Lineage: Eukaryota; Viridiplantae; Streptophyta; Magnoliopsida; Apiales; Araliaceae.
GCUACCCUAUAUGACUGAAUUCAGCCAAUAUUAGCCCCAUACCAGCCAUUUCAAUUUCAUUCAAAUUUAUAAAUAAUUGAAGAGAGAGAAAGUCAUUAUCUAGCCUCAUUUUUGUGACAAACUCUCAACCUACACUUCCUCUCUCUAGACCCACGAAAAUAUGGAGUAUAUCAGUCCCUUAUAUGAUCCAUAGCAAGCCAAGAACAGAUCCCAAGGAUCAGAAAUCAAGAUCAAGCUUCAAGUGGUAUAAACCCUAAUUUUUGUAAAUCAUGUGAUUUUAUGUUAAUGAUUGGUUAGAUAGGUGUUAGAAGGUGCCUUUUAGAGAUCUGGGUUGUUGGAUCAUAGAUCCAUAACAUCUAGAUGCUCGAAUCUAAUGAUUUCAAAAAUCUGGAAAACUUGAAAAAUAUGGCCUGACAGCCAUAUGUCAGAGGCCCUAGAUCUUUACUUGUUAAUGUUUUGGUAUAUUUAAUGUUAUGUAUCUGUUCUUUGUUGUUAGGUCUUCGAUCUGAGACUUGAAUCAAACUCAGAUCAUGAAUAUAUUGCAAGAUAUGAUCGGUCAAAAGGUGUUGACCAAGCACGAAACUAUUUUCUGGGCAGCCAAGAAAUUUCCAGAAUUUCUGACAGUAAUUUUCAUGACCCUAGAUCUUGUUGUAUUUAAAGAGUUUGGUCACUUUAUUGUUUUGUGGUCGUAACCUGACAUGCGAACUUCACAUCUAUGCUUUUAUAUAACUUAGAUCAUGACCAGAAUGACAAUUAAUCUCGGUCAAACCUACGUUGACCAAUCUGCCUGAAGAACAAAUCUGGGUAACCCAGAUUUUUCCCAAAUCGCUCUGACAACAUAUUCAUGAGCCCAGAUAUGGCUUGUAUUUGAUGUUUUGAUGGUGUUAAUAUAUCUAUAUUGUAAUAUCGUCUAGGGACUACAUAUUGGUUCCUUUAUUUCACUUAAACAACAAACAAGAUUCAUUUAAUGAACGGUCAAAGUUGACUGCUCAGUCACGAAAUCCUUUUCUGGAAAACCCAGAUCUUCAUCAGCCGAGUUUUCUGUCAGACUUUGACCAGCCAUGAUCUUCUUGUUGUGAUGAUAAUAUGAUGCUAUGUUGUUAUAGAAUUGUUCACUGACAUCUCCACUACAAAUAAGAACCUUUAGAUCACACAAAUAAUACAUAUUCUGCAAGUUACAAUGAUUAAAAGGAAGACACUUGGACUGUUCUUCAUUUCUGGAAAACCCAGAAAUGAAGAACAGUGUCUGACAUGAAUUUGUAAGGCCUUUAUCUCACAAAUCUGUUGUUUUUUUGGUCAUGGAAUCAUUCACUAAUUGUAGACUUACAUUUAUACUAUGACACGAACACUUAAGCAGCCCAGAAAACUUAAAGAUCAUGAAUCUAGAACCGGUCAAACAUGGUACCCUGCACACUGACAUACGUUUCUGGGCAGGCUCAAGAACAGGCCAAGAACACCUAUAGCGACGGGUCUGUCGCUAUAGGGCUCUUUUAGCGACAAUUUAUUUAGAAAAUUAAUUAUUUUAAUUAAUAAAUAGAUAAAAAUGAUUUUUAAUUAUUAAAAAUACAAAAUAAAUUCCGAAAAAUUAUUUUAAAAUUUGAAAAAUAGUUUUUAAUUAUUUAGAGUAUAUUUCAUAAAUAUUUAAUAUUUUUGGAAUAUAAAUGGUAUUUAAUUUAUUUAAUUAUAAUAUUAAAUAAAUUAUUUAAAAAUGGUUUUAAUUCAUGAAAAGUCAUAAAAAAUGAUAUUAUGGUAUAAGAAAAUAUUUUAAGUUAUUUUUAAUGACUUUUGAUAUUUUGUGUGAAAUUUCUUCAAUUAAUUAAUAUUAAUGGUAAUUAGUUUAUUUAAUAAAUAUAUUAAAUAAAUUAUGGAAAAUUAGAAAUAAUACUUUAAAAAUCAUAUAAAAAUGAUUUAAGGGUUAGAAAAAUAUUUUAAGUUAUAAAAUAUAACUUUUGAUAUUUUGUCAUGAAAAUAUUAAUAUUUUAAUAUUAAAAGCAAUUAUCGGAUAAUGUAUUUAAUUGUUUAAAAAUCAUAUAAAGGUGAUUUUAAAGUAUUAAAAAUACUUUGUAAUAUUAUAAAUAUAUUAUAAUAUUAUGUUAUGAUUUUCAUUAAUAUUUUAUAUUAAAUAAAUAUAAAUGAUAAAGGAAUAUGGUGGUAUUUAUAUUAUAUAAAUACGAUAUUAAUGAUUGAAAAUUUUUGAUAAAUGAUAUUAAUUAUCUGAAAAUUAUUAUGAGCCUAUGAAAAAUAUUUUGACUGAUAAUAAAUUAUCUAAGAUAAUUGUUAAGUGUUUAAGCAGAGUUUAAUUGAACUUAAACUCAAAUAUUGUCCGACUAGACCGUCGGGAUGUUAGAAUUGUGUCGGGUUCAACUCAGACUGCAAUAGUUUGACUUGAUACCGAGUCUUAUGUGCUAAAUAGACUGAUAGGGUUAUGUGAUAAAUGUAUUUAGGUUAUUUUAAAUACUAUGAUGAUAUUAUUCUAAUGUGUGGAUCGGUAUUAUUUAUAUUAGGUUUUCAGACAAAGCUAGAUAAAUUGCGUAGCGGUAAUCAACGGUUCAGGCAAGUUUUUACUUAACUCUACUAAGAGUUGUUUCAUUCAGAUAUGCUUAUGGAUAAUCAUUGCUGAUUGCCAUUGUAGAAUUGUACUUUGUACAUAUUGCAUGUAUAAGUCAGGUAAUGAAGGUGAUCAUGAAAGGCUGAUCACCUUCAUUACCAUUCGGUUCAGAUAUAUUUGUUCAUGUUCAAUACUUGUUCAGUCAAAAGUUUGUUCCUGUUAGUUCACAAUUGUAUUGUUGAAUUAUAGCCAGCUUAUUAUUCAGAUUCUGUCAAUCAUGAUAUAUCGUUAUAUUAUUGAACUUAAACUUGUUGGGCAAUCUUAUGUUCACCCUUGCUAUAUCAUGAUAAACAUUGCAGAUUAAGGCGAAUACGUCGGAUACAGUUAAGGAAAAAGCCAAGUUCAACUUGGGAUUUUAUGUGCAGCUUAAUUCUAAUAGUAUAGUAUAAUAAUAUUGUUGUAUGUUAGACAGGUUAUGAAUUAUGUUUAUUUGAAGGUUACUCGGCCUUGGGGGAAAUAGUGUGUAAUGUAUUGUAUAAACAAUUUAUGUUUAUAUCUUCCGCAAAUAGUAAUAGUUAUAGAAUUAGCAUACCAAGAUCCGUGGUGAUUUGGGACCCGGAUUUGGGGAUGCUACAGUAGUACUACAAAAUGAAUAAAAACAGAAUGUUCUUACCUGUGUUGGAUGCUGUCCUGGACCGUCUCCAGCAUUAAUAACAGGAAUACUGGCCGUACUGGCUGCUCUUUUGGCAGCACCGCUUUCGAAAUGCCUCAUCACAAUUAUAUCAGAGUACCCUUCAACGGUUCUUAUGGUAUCUGUAAAGUAAGUUUCAAGAUCAGAGCUAAAAAAUCAUCAAGAUAACCUAAUUGUUUGCUAAUAAGAAAUGAAGAUACCACCUUCUAAUGUCUCUCCUUUUGCAGCUGAUGAGAACUCACGCGCAUUUUCUGUCGUCAAAACUUCCCCACCUAAUCGUUUCAUAGCAGACUCAAAUGAAAGCCUAGUCCUAGUCGAAGGCUCAUAAAAGAGGGUGGCCAUUAGAUAACCCU